This is a long non-coding RNA of Herpailurus yagouaroundi (jaguarundi), 938 nucleotides long. RefSeq lists it as uncharacterized. The record is from RefSeq and is a predicted model, not a curated record. NCBI's taxonomy places the organism in Eukaryota, Metazoa, Chordata, Mammalia, Carnivora, Felidae. The transcript is spliced from 2 exons.
CACUGUCCUGUCUCCUCUGCUGUGUUUCCGUUUCUGGCAUUUCCAGAGCACCUCCCACGAGCCAGGCGGUGUGCUCGGCUCUGGGGAUGCAGGCCCGGCUUCCUGGACCCUUCCCACUCUGCUCCCGGGCCCCGGCAGCUGCAGCCCAGCCCCUCCCUCCCAGCCCCUCUUCCGUUUCCUCACCCUGGGAUUCCUGGAUCCCGACAGAAUCUAAAAAGGCUCCCCUUUAAACAGACCAUUUGGACUGAGAAACCCUGAGCUGACGUAUCUGAUCUGUCUCUUCCCAUUUCGCCCCACGAGAUAAGACGGAUUCACAUUCCUUUUGUACAGUCUCGGGCUUCUUCGUCUUUCCUCCCCACUCCCCGCAGGCCUUGGGGGUCUGAGCGCAGCUCCCCCUUCACGCUUGUCCAGGGCUGUAUUUUCAUCUCCUAGGUCUCUGCUCCACUGGUGUGUGGAACCCACAGCGUCGCCGGACGCACUCUGCUGGUAAGGACGGAAACUGGUACAGCCCCCAAGGAAUGCCAUUUGGCAAUAUCUAUCCAAGUUAGAAAUGCGUGUACCUUCUGGCCCAGUAACGUCACUUCUGGGAAUUUCUCUUAAAGAUACACUUGCACACGUGCAAAAUGAUGUGCUGGGAAAGAUCUUGAGAAGAGAUGGUUAGGUGAAAACACACAUGCAAAGGUGACAACAGGCCUGUGUUAUGCUGCCUUUGGAUUACAAAGGAAGAAACUAAGAUUUCCUUGCAUUUACAUACCUACCGGACCUGAGAAAGGACACCCAGAAUCAGAAACCAGAAAAGGAAGAAGAGGGGGAGCCGGGUAGAAGAGGGAUGGGGGAGAUGUCUCACUGAAUACAGUUUUACGUGUUUGUAUUUCUAAUGAUGUGAACGCACUGCACACUAAAAUUCAGGGAAGGUACUCUUAAAUGUGAGUUUAUCC